AGCGGAGGAAAAGAAACCAACAGGGAUUGCCCUAGUAACGGCGAGUGAAGCGGCAACAGCUCAAAUUUGAAAGCUGGCCUUCGGGUCCGCAUUGUAAUUUGUAGAGGAUGCUUUGGGUGAAACGCCAGUCUAAGUUCCUUGGAACAGGACGUCAUAGAGGGUGAGAAUCCCGUAUGUGACUGGAAAUGUUAACCUAUGUAAAGCUCCUUCGACGAGUCGAGUUGUUUGGGAAUGCAGCUCUAAAUGGGAGGUAAAUUUCUUCUAAAGCUAAAUAUUGGCGAGAGACCGAUAGCGCACAAGUAGAGUGAUCGAAAGAUGAAAAGCACUUUGGAAAGAGAGUUAAAAAGCACGUGAAAUUGUUGAAAGGGAAGCGCUUGCAAUCAGACUUGUUUAAACUGUUCGGCCGGUCUUCUGACCGGUUUACUCAGUUUGGACAGGCCAGCAUCAGUUUCGGCGGCCGGAUAAAGGCUCUGGGAAUGUGGCCUUCACUUCGGUGAAGGUGUUAUAGCCCAGGGUGUAAUACGGCCAGCCGGGACUGAGGUCCGCGCUUCGGCUAGGAUGCUGGCGUAAUGGUUGUAAGCGACCCGUCUUGA
Molecule: ribosomal RNA, 593 nt
Filed under: Aureobasidium pullulans
Lineage: Eukaryota; Fungi; Ascomycota; Dothideomycetes; Dothideales; Saccotheciaceae
Description: partial large subunit ribosomal RNA
Rfam family: Eukaryotic large subunit ribosomal RNA
Source: RNAcentral